AGACGUCUACAUUAGAUACCCCCUGUAGUCCCAGCCGUAAACUAUGCGCGUUAGGUGUAUCGGUGACCACGAGUCACCGAGGUGCCGAAGGGAACCGUGAAACGUGCCGCCUGGGAAGUACGGUCGCAAGGCUGAAACUUAAAGGAAUUGGCGGGGGAGCACCACAACAGGUGGAGCCUGCGGUUUAAUUGGACUCAACGCCGGGAAGCUCACCGGAUAGGACAGCAGAAUGAUUGGCCGGGCUGAAGACCCUGCAUGACUAGCUG
Molecule: ribosomal RNA, 266 nt
Filed under: uncultured archaeon
Lineage: Archaea
Description: partial 16S ribosomal RNA
Rfam family: Archaeal small subunit ribosomal RNA
Source: RNAcentral